CACGUAGGGGGCGAGCGUUGUCCGGAUUUAUUGGGCGUAAAGAGCUCGUAGGCGGCUCAGUAAGUCAGGUGUGAAAACUCCAGGCUCAACCUGGAGACGCCACCUGAUACUGCUGUGGCUAGAGUCCGGUAGGGGAGCAUGGAAUUCCUGGUGUAGCGGUGAAAUGCGCAGAUAUCAGGAGGAACACCAGUGGCGAAGGCGGUGCUCUGGGCCGGAACUGACGCUGAGACUCGAAAGCGUGGGGAGCAAACAGG
Molecule: ribosomal RNA, 254 nt
Filed under: uncultured bacterium
Lineage: Bacteria
Description: partial 16S ribosomal RNA
Rfam family: Bacterial small subunit ribosomal RNA
Source: RNAcentral